CUGCCCAGCGCAGUCCUUCGCUGCGCACUGACCCCUAGGAAGGCAGUGCAUGGUCAGGGCACUGAGGGACCCUCCACCGGGACGCUGGCCCCUCCCCGGGCCUCUGCUCACUUGCCCCCCACUCCCUAGUCCGUCCCCCUAGUAGGCCUGUCGGAUCGGGGACGUGGGGCGAGCUGAGAGCAGGCCCGGGGUGGGUGGUCACCGUGGUGAAGAUGUGGCUGUCAAGAUGAUAGAAGUACUGACAACUGACUCUCAGAAACUGCUACACCAGCUGAACACCCUGUUGGAACAGGAGUCUAGAUGUCAGCCAAAGGUCUGUGGCUUGAAACUAAUUGAGUCUGCCCAUGAUAAUGGCCUCAGAAUGACUGCAAGACUACAGGACUUUGAAGUAAAAGAUCUACUUAGUCUAAUUCAGUUCUUUGGCUUUGACACGGAGACAUUUUCCCUAGCUGUGAAUUUACUGGACAUAUUCUUGUCUAAAAUGAAGGCAGAGGCGAAGCACCUUGGGUGUGUUGGACUGAGCUGCUUUUAUUUGGCUGUGAAAGCGACUGAAGAGGAAAGGAAUGUCCCACUGGCGACUGAUUUGAUCCGAAUAAGUCAGUAUAGAUUCACAGUUUCAGACCUGAUGAGAAUGGAGAAGAUUGUGUUGGAGAAAGUGUGUUGGAAAGUCAAAGCUACUACUGCCUUUCAAUUUCUGCAGCUCUAUUAUUCACUCAUUCACGACACCUUGCCAUUUGAGAGGAGAAACGAUCUGAGUUUUGAAAGACUAGAAGCCCAACUUAAGGCCUGCCACUGCAGGAUUAUAUUUUCUAAGGCAAAGCCUUCUGUGCUGGCGCUAUCUAGCAUUGCGUUGGAGAUCCAAGCACUGAAGUACGUAGAGUUAACAGAAGGAGUAGAAUGUAUUCAGAAACAUUCCAAGAUAAGUGGCCGAGAUUUGACCUUCUGGCAAGAGCUUGUUUCCAAGUGUUUAACCGAAUAUUCAUCAAACAAGUGCUCCAAACCAAAUGGUCAGAAGUUGAAAUGGAUUGUGUCUGGACGCACUGCACGGCAACUGAAGCACAGUUAUUAUAGAAUAACUCACCUCCCAACGAUUCCUGAGACCAUUUGUUAGUUGAUAAAUCUGGAUGUUAUUCUCUGUAUACAGAAAAUUUUCCAGUAUGAUCAUUUUCUGCUACAAGUGAAGAAUUGAAAUACUAUCUUCAAUGUAAAGAAUAUGGGAUGAAAACAUAAAGGAAAAGUGAACUUGUUGACUGAUCUAGAUAGAGAAUACUGGAAGGCAUUCACAGUGUACAGUGCAUAGCAGUUUUAAGAGGAAAGGACAUACCAAACCCCUAGAUAUAUGCUAAUACUUUUCAUCAAAGGAUUAGCGUAGUAGCAAAGAUAAUACUUUAAACUCGAAUUUUAAAAGUAGUUACUGAAAUAGCACUUCUUUAAAUUACGUACCACCCCACUGUAGCUUAUUUAAAGUUGCAUAAGCCCAAGCAAAGCAACAAGAAUUGUGACCCAUAUAUGAACAAAUUUUAAUCUGCCCAUUGACUCUGAAAAUGAAGUACAAACCUGGGUGAUGGACUUACAAAGUAAUAUAGGGCAUGCCCACGUGAGGUUCCUGGAAACUGCCAGAGUGUCUUAAUUCUAUAGCUAGUAUUUUACCUCUAUAGCAUUUGGACUAAUACAAAG
Non-coding RNA from Mus caroli (Ryukyu mouse), 1677 nucleotides. The record is from RefSeq and is a predicted model, not a curated record. Lineage: Eukaryota; Metazoa; Chordata; Mammalia; Rodentia; Muridae.